This is a long non-coding RNA of Diceros bicornis minor, 337 nucleotides long. RefSeq lists it as uncharacterized. The transcript has 3 exons. NCBI's taxonomy places the organism in Eukaryota, Metazoa, Chordata, Mammalia, Perissodactyla, Rhinocerotidae. The record is from RefSeq and is a predicted model, not a curated record.
UCCUUAGUCUCUGUCCCGGGAGCUCGGGGCCCAGCGGGCUGCCGGCUCCUUCCACUUUCUGCCUUGAUGGACUCAAUGAACUUUAAUUUCUUCAUCUGUAAAGGGGGGAUAAUCGCACCCACCCAAGACCCUGGAUCGAGCUCUGCCCUGAACAGCAGAGCAACUCACAGGCGACCCGGGAGCCUCACAGCUGUCGUCAUUUAAUCCAGGGUCACCUGCUCCACGGCACAGGCGGCCGGAGUGAUCACGAGGAAGCCUGUUCAUUUUUCAGUGACUUACUGUUCCUGCGCUGCUCGGGGAGAUGGGUGAGGAGUCGGAGCAAUUUAAGGCUCCCCGC